UUGAAAGGGAAACGAUUGAAGUCAGUCGUGCUGGCGCGAAAUCAACUUUCUCGUCUUGAGAUCACAUGGCGUGGCGAGCCUCAAAACCGUCACGAAGCGUGAACUCUUGGUGAAAUGGAGCACUUUCGUGUCCGCUGGUUAACAUCAAUUUCGAACGUCAUAAAAAGGCUGGAGGGAUGUGGCUCCUUCGGGAGUGUUAUAACCUUUAGCGGAAUGUGGUGUUCGGGAUUGAGGAUUGCAACGAAUACCUUUAGGGCUGUUCCACCUGGCUUCUCUUUGGUAUCCUGGUGACGACGGCUUGCUGUCGUCGUUAGGAUUCGCCUUUGAACAGGUUAGAGUGUGAGCAAAUUCGUUAAGGAUGUUGACGUA
Molecule: ribosomal RNA, 369 nt
Filed under: uncultured Glomeromycotina
Lineage: Eukaryota; Fungi; Glomeromycota
Description: LSU rRNA
Source: RNAcentral